GUUCUAAUUUUAUGUAUUAAUUCCGUAAUGUUUUAGAAACCAAACUUCUGUUUUACCGUGGGUAUUGUGAGUUAAAAUGACUGUCAAGUUUGUCGUGUUAAGUGAAAUAUUUCAUUUUCAUCUAUGUUCAUGAGGUGCUUAUUAUUUUAUGGAGUUAUAUUCCUGAUAAAAAAUCUUAAGUACUGUUUUAAAAUGGAGCUCACUGCUCUUUGUUACUAGGGGAAUUCCCGGGCUUUGGAGUUUCAGAGCUGCUGCGGAGUAGAGACAUGCUAGUCUCUGGCUACCUUCUGCAUAGCGCUUGACUUCUUUAUGCCUGAUAUAUGAUGUUUUCCUGCUAGUGCAUUAUUGUGGCCGAUAUUGGGGAAAGGAACACUGGGAAGGUGCUCCUGUGCCUGCGGAGGAAGAGAGAGAGGCCGCGGAGUUUCUGUGUCUGUGAACAACGGCUGCCGUCGUCAUUCUGGGUCGCCAUCCCAGCCAGGACAACAUCUUUCAUCGAUUCGUUUCGAAAAGUGUAUGACGAAGUGUUGAGACGAAGUUGGAUGUGUUUCAGUCCAGUAACUUGUAAUAAACAUAACUGGUUGAUAGUAAACUGCUAUCUGAA
This is a long non-coding RNA of Poecilia latipinna (sailfin molly), 601 nucleotides long. RefSeq lists it as uncharacterized. The transcript has 2 exons. NCBI's taxonomy places the organism in Eukaryota, Metazoa, Chordata, Actinopteri, Cyprinodontiformes, Poeciliidae. The record is from RefSeq and is a predicted model, not a curated record.